Long non-coding RNA from Physeter macrocephalus (sperm whale), 232 nucleotides. RefSeq lists it as uncharacterized. The record is from RefSeq and is a predicted model, not a curated record. The transcript has 3 exons. Lineage: Eukaryota; Metazoa; Chordata; Mammalia; Artiodactyla; Physeteridae.
UGACCCCUCGCCCAGCAGGCUGCACAGACUGCCGUGACCGAACUCGGUGUAGUGCCUGAGAUGGUUCCCUGGAGACCCGAACUUGGCAUAAGGGAAUUAUAGCUCAUGGAAGAGGCUCAUCUGAAACCCAGCCUUACCCCAGAAAGGACAACAUAUUUGGUGCCCCUCCCCAGGCCAUUUAACAUUUGCCACCACUGCCCCAGGGCUCCCUGGCCUCCACCGUCUCCCCUAC